AGGUUUGGUCCCAGCCUUCCUGUUAACUCUCAACAGACUUACACAUGCAAGCAUCCACGCCCCGGUGAGUAACGCCCUCCAAAUCAAUAAGACUAAGAGGAGCAGGUAUCAAGCACACAUCUUGUAGCUUACAACGCCUCGCUUAACCACACCCCUACGGGAGACAGCAGUGACAAAAAUUAAGCCAUAAACGAAAGUUUGACUAAGCCAUGUUGACCAGGGUUGGUAAAUCUCGUGCCAGCCACCGCGGUCAUACGAUUAACCCAAGCUAACAGGAAUACGGCGUAAAACGUGUUAAAGCACUACAUCAAAUAGAGUUAAAUUCUAAUUAAACUGUAAAAAGCCAUAAUUACAACAAAAAUAGAUGACGAAAGUAACCCUACUGCAGCUGAUACACUAUAGCUAAGACCCAAACUGGGAUUAGAUACCCCACUAUGCUUAGCCCUAAACACAAAUAAUUACAGAAACAAAAUUAUUCGCCAGAGUACUACCGGCAACAGCCCGAAACUCAAAGGACUUGGCGGUGCUUUAUACCCUUCUAGAGGAGCCUGUUCUAUAAUCGAUAA
Molecule: ribosomal RNA, 566 nt
Filed under: Capra hircus (goat)
Lineage: Eukaryota; Metazoa; Chordata; Mammalia; Artiodactyla; Bovidae
Description: partial 12S ribosomal RNA
Rfam family: Bacterial small subunit ribosomal RNA
Source: RNAcentral